AUGAGGGUGCAGCUGGAAAGAGCUGGGGUGGACUGCAACCUGGCUGCCUGGAUCACCGACUACCUCACUAACAGACCACAGUAUGUGAGACUACGUGGCUGUGAGUUGGAUGUGGUAGUCUGCAGCCCAGAGGCCCCACAAGUCUGUGACAGAAUCACUGUGGUAUUCGGACAAGGCACCAAGCUGAUUGUAACUGACUCGGCGCUGCCCGCUGGGUCUCUGACCCUCUUUCCUCCAUCCAGCGCAGAGCUGCAGGCCGACAGUCACUGUGGUGUGUGUGGCAGAGGACCUGCCCACAGGCUUUGCUGAGGUCAGCUGGGCGGUCAGUGGGAACCCGGUCAGCAGCGGCAUUAGCACCGGCUCCCCUCAGCAGCAGCCCAACAAGAAGUUCCGGCUCAGCAGCCUCCUGACCAUCCAGACGGCCGACUGGACCAGCGACAAAGACGUGUCCUGCCAGGUGGCCAGUGCCAGCUCCACAGCCUCCAAGAGCAUCAAGCAGUCAGAAUGCAGCAACUGAGGCCAAAGUUUUUUACUAAUGUUAGAUUGAAUGUUCUUUUGAAUGCUGCAUUAUUUUAUUUUAAUAAAGAGCAUAAGUUUG
Alosa alosa (allis shad) is the source of this 598-nucleotide non-coding RNA. The record is from the annotation of a RefSeq genome assembly. Lineage: Eukaryota; Metazoa; Chordata; Actinopteri; Clupeiformes; Clupeidae.